Rhododendron vialii is the source of this 1508-nucleotide long non-coding RNA. RefSeq lists it as uncharacterized. The transcript is spliced from 2 exons. The record is from RefSeq and is a predicted model, not a curated record. Lineage: Eukaryota; Viridiplantae; Streptophyta; Magnoliopsida; Ericales; Ericaceae.
UGCUGGGCUUAAAAGACCAAUGGAUGCUGAGACUUUUUUGGCCAAUGUUCUUUUGGAUACUCACUCCCUAUGUAAAAGUUUUUUAAGUAUUGUAGUUGUUAAGGUAUCUAAAUGUGUUGUUAAGGUAGUCCAUGAUGUGGCUAAAACUACUUUGUAAUCCUUUUGGGGGGUUUAUAUAUUCUGAUCUCGAUUCCUCAAAAGAAACAAUGAGUGCCAUGAAGAAUAUUGUCAGCAAUGUUUGCAUUUGUAAGCUAGGUUUGAGUUUGAUGCAUCAUUAUAUGAACUGAGUCUUAUGCGAGUAUUGCCGAAGCAAGGUGCACAUGCCGAUCAAAAACAACUGUCAUAUGGUAGCGGAGCAACAGUAACAAAAGUAAAAACAAGAGUGAUACAAUGUGAGCAUACACGCUUAAACCCUUUCUCUCUUACCCAUAAAUGUUUUGGCAUUCUUUGGCAAAAUGCCCUCUCUCAACGAUAGGUGUAGCCACCACCCCCUCCACAACCACCACUGCUACCUAUGGCAACAUACCGGCCACCGCCUGAUCACCUUCAUUGCAGUCCCGAGACUUAUGUUCCAUUUCCCCAACUACUACUGCCACCUUGGUGAGUCUGUUUGGUGCAGUAAUAUCAACUGCUUCAGUACGGCCAUCAACAUCCUCUCCGAGGCCACUAUGCAAAUGCAUAAUCAUAAACCAAAAACAAAAAAGAUGAAGUCAUCUCACAUAUUAACACCUCAGGCACAGGAAAACAAAGAAAAUCAAAUCAAACUGCAAUAGAUUAAGCAUACAUCAAAUGGAGUUGUAUACUGACUGAUAUUGAAUCUUUAACCAAUUGAAAUUGUUGCAUAUAGUCCUAGUCAAUAGGGGCAUGAAAAUGUUGCUAUAUACAUGUGUGUGUGUGGUGAAGAUAGAGAGAAAAGAGGAGUGCUAUUGGAAAAAAGGGUAGUGCCAAAAUCACUUUCCUUUCCAUAGAUUUCAAUACACUUUGCUGGAUAUUUAUGCAUCUCUCACAUAUACCAAUUCACUUUUCUUUUUGUACAGAAAUCACAACAAAACUAUAAAUCAUCUGCAAGAAGAUAAAGCGCAAUCGUACAUAAAAAUGUGAGAUGGAAUCAGUAGACAACCAAAGUAGCAAAAAUCAGUCAUCUGUGGAAUCCCAUCUCUACGGUUGUCUGGCCGCUGCCUGAUUUUCCUAACAAUUCCACCACCAAACACAGUUUAAACAACUCUGUUUGCACUGAAAUCGAGGGUAAAUUAGACGUUCAAUGUAUGCACCGUUGUUUCAGAGAGAGAAACCAAAAUCAUAGAUUUUCCUCCCUCUACAAUCAACACAACAAAUGCUAGUGCUAAAAACAGAUUGCUAAUUUCGGUGAAUUGUGGGGCUCAUAUCAAGUGUAAUUUUUAUGAGAACUGUCAUCGUGGGCAAAACCAUAAUCAAAAGGGGAAGAGGGAGAAAAUGAAUGGAUUUUGUGAUUUCAGACGCCAAACCCUAAGGCGGCACCUAAUUCACUA